Marinobacter sp. BSs20148 is the source of this 287-nucleotide small RNA. It matches the Rfam family "5' ureB small RNA". The record is from Rfam. Lineage: Bacteria; Pseudomonadati; Pseudomonadota; Gammaproteobacteria; Pseudomonadales; Marinobacteraceae.
CUUCUUCAAUCUGCUGGGGGCAGAUGAAGUGGAUGUGGGCGUCGAUGCCACCGGCGGUGAGGAUUUUGCCUUCGCCGGCGAUGAUUUCGGUGCCAGGGCCGAUAACGAUGGUGACAUCUGGCUGGGUGUCGGGGUUGCCGGCUUUGCCGAUGGCGGCGAUGCGGCCGUUUUGCAGGCCAACGUCGGCUUUAACGAUGCCCCACCAAUCCAGAAUCAGGGCGUUGGUGAUGACGGUGUCCAUCACGGUGUCGUCGGCGCGCUGGCUUUGGCCCAUGCCGUCACGGAUG